This 1622-nucleotide long non-coding RNA is filed under the name Lathyrus oleraceus (garden pea). RNAcentral describes it as "Pisum sativum (pea) long non-coding RNA (PSAT_LNC021843)". Lineage: Eukaryota; Viridiplantae; Streptophyta; Magnoliopsida; Fabales; Fabaceae. The record is from RNAcentral.
AACCUUAAAUAAGUCAACUUAAUAAGCUCUAAAGCAAGUCAGAAAACACUACUGUUAAAUUUAAUUCAAAUAUAGGUGGAAAGCAUUUACCAACCUGAGAUGAAACAUUUGAAUUGUUCUUGACAACAUCACGGCGAACAUUUAAGGAUUGAAAAUAGUAUGAUCUCGCAGCUUGGAGGUCUCCCCCAUGAUAUUUAAGAUCACCAAUUUUAUUAAGUGAAACGGAAAGUGUAUGUGUAAUCUGUAAGAUAACAAGGUCAAAGAAAUAAAUUGACAAUAAACAAAACCAGAUUGAUCUGGUAAUCUAUCAUUUCUCAUGAGAGCUGAGAAAAGCAAGGUUCUAAUGAAAUAACCUCCAAAUCAUCUUUUGGCAACUUUGACAGAAAUUCAACACUUUCUUCAAAAUAAGUUACUGCAGAACUGCUAUCACCCAUUGCUCGGCUGCAGAAAUUAUUUUGUAAACAUGAAGAUCACAAUCCACCUCCUCCAUUAAACAUGUAAUUAAACUAUAUUCUCUUAAACUUUGUGAUACAAAAAGAAAUGUGACACAUGAAUGAAAAAAAGGAAAAAGCAGAGAAUAAGAAGAAAACAAAAGGCUUAAAAACAAAAAGAGAUCAAUAUCUCUCAAAAUGUUCACGAUCAAAACCGCUCUAAAAUAACGAUAAACUGCACCACAAAGAGACCAAAAGGCGCACUACAUAAUAGAUUUAAGAGCACAACACGAGGCACUGAAACUUCAUAUUGAAGGUGUGUCUAUGUUUGUUCAGCACCAACACGAUACUAAUACGUGUGAUUACAUAUAAUCAUUCCAUUUUCUCAAAUUAUUACCAAUGUCUGUCAGUGCUCUGCUUCAGAGGAUGUAACUAUAUGCUAAUGGGUUUAGGACAUGUUUUAAAGUGGGAGCAACAGGGAAAACUAGGAGCUUCUUCAACUGAAGUGGUUAUUUCUGUACACCAAAAAUGGCUAAAGCAGUAUAGGAAAUUGAACAUUUACACUAUAUUAUAGAUGUAGAGGAAACAGUGAAACAAUUUCUGGUACAGACAUGGAUAACCAAAACUCAAAUGUCCUCAUACCAAAGAUGAUUCGGAUUCCAUAUAGAAUAUACAACGGAAACAAUUUCUGGUACAGAUAUAGAUAACCAAAACUCAAAAUGUCCUCAAUACAAAGAUGAUUCGGAUUCAGAACACUAGUUACAAUUCCACCGAUUCUAAGCAUCCUUAUUGAUUUAUCAUUUUUGGUCUCAGUCUAGUUAUAUUCAGUGUUACUAUCAGUGUUGUCAACGCAUNCUCUAAAGCAAGUCAGAAAACACUACUGUUAAAUUUAAUUCAAAUAUAGGUGGAAAGCAUUUACCAACCUGAGAUGAAACAUUUGAAUUGUUCUUGACAACAUCACGGCGAACAUUUAAGGAUUGAAAAUAGUAUGAUCUCGCAGCUUGGAGGUCUCCCCCAUGAUAUUUAAGAUCACCAAUUUUAUUAAGUGAAACGGAAAGUGUAUGUGUAAUCUGUAAGAUAACAAGGUCAAAGAAAUAAAUUGACAAUAAACAAAACCAGAUUGAUCUGGUAAUCUAUCAUUUCUCAUGAGAGCUGAGAAAAGCAAGGUUCUAAUGAAAUAACCUCCAAAUC